AUUGUUUCUGUCUUAUUGUGGUACAAAUCGAAUACUUUAGUGGGGUUUUUCAAACUUGGGCUUCUUCACAGUUCUACUUUCAUUUUUGGAUAAAGAGCUGCAUACUUAAUUGCAUCGACUCAAGGAAGCUUAAGAUGGGGGAGCUUU
Long non-coding RNA from Quercus lobata, 147 nucleotides. RefSeq lists it as uncharacterized. The record is from RefSeq and is a predicted model, not a curated record. Lineage: Eukaryota; Viridiplantae; Streptophyta; Magnoliopsida; Fagales; Fagaceae. The transcript is spliced from 3 exons.